RNAcentral lists this long non-coding RNA (349 nucleotides) under Manihot esculenta (cassava). Its description in RNAcentral is "long non-coding RNA (MESC_LNC002780)". Lineage: Eukaryota; Viridiplantae; Streptophyta; Magnoliopsida; Malpighiales; Euphorbiaceae. The record is from RNAcentral.
AAUAAUUAUCAAUUCAUAUGAGAUCUGAAAAUAUUAGUCAACAUUUAUGGUGUCGAACAAAAAGCAGUUCGACACUGUAAAUGUCAAACUGCCACGCGGAAUUAGUGUUGAACAAGCUAUUUUCUAUUCAUGUCACGAGAGCAAUUUCAAAUUGCUUCCGUUGGAUGCCGAACAUGCACAAAUAUCAAGAUUUCGUCAUGUGACCAAGUACCGAACACUUUUCUUAUGCAUGCAUUUUCGGAAACACUUUUUUGAAGCCAAAGUCUCCCACCAUCUCCUUCUUUUUCCAAAUUUUCAUUCUUCACCUCUCGGGUUCUUCACUUCUCCCUCUCCAGCUCUUCACUUCACC